GGGGAAUAUUGGGCAAUGUGCGAAAGCCUGACCCAGCAACGCCGCGUGAGGGAAGAAGGUCUUCGGAUUGUAAACCUUUGUCCUAUGGGACGAAACAAAUGACGGUACCAUAGGAGGAAGCUCCGGCUAACUACGCGCCAGCAGCCGCGGUAAUACGUAGGGAGCAAGCGUUGUCCGGAAUUACUGGGCGUAAAGGGUGCGUAGGUGGCCAAAUAAGUCAGGUGUGAAAGACCGGGGCUCAACCGUAGUAAGCUCUUGAAACUGGGAAACUUGAGUGCAGGAGAGGAAAGUGGAAUUCCUAGUGUAGCGGUGAAAUGCGUAGAUAUUAGGAGGAACACCAGUAGCGAAGGCGACUUUCUGGACUACAACUGACGUUGAGGCACGAAAGCGUGGGGAGCAAACA
RNAcentral lists this ribosomal RNA (403 nucleotides) under uncultured Eubacteriales bacterium. Its description in RNAcentral is "bacterial SSU rRNA". It matches the Rfam family "Bacterial small subunit ribosomal RNA", at positions 356 to 774 of the family's 1533-position model. The record is from RNAcentral. Lineage: Bacteria; Bacillati; Bacillota; Clostridia; Eubacteriales.